CAGGUAUUUACUUUAAACCCAUUAGAAACCACAAAAACUUAGAGAAUAUACAAAAGUGCAAAGGGCAGAGGAACAAUAAAGGGAAAUGAAGUGACAAUUUCAUCAUAUACUGGCAUUUGGUUAUCAAGAGGAUUCUGCUAAUUUAGCAGCCAGAAGGAGUUUUAUGGUCUGAAAAGAUGAUAUCUCCAUUUUGGGGAGUUUUUCCAUUUUCACAACCUUAAUGUUAGUUCAGGGAAACACAGCUAAGAAAACCUUGAACAUUUUCUGUAAAAACCUGUCCCUCCUCUUUCACAGCAAGUUCCAUUGUGUCUCAAAACUUUCAGCAUCUUGUCCAGCACAAGCUGAUGUUUGGCUCUGUGUUCUGGCACGUGGCUUUUGGAUGCACAGCGACUCGGUGGAAAUGGCUUUCUCAAUGUACUUCUUCCUGAGUAAACGUAAUCUGCUUUUUUGCCUUUGUCCAUUACUUUCUCUUGGGAAGCACCGAUUUCAUGUCACAAACCUCGAAAUUUUCUGAUUUUGAUGGAGAUUUUGAGCAACUUCACUGCAGACAUAUUUCAACCCUCUUUUACAACAUGCUCUUCUCCAAGCUUGCUCUCGACAGUCAAUCUCCCAUGUGAAGGAAACAUUAGUCCUAAAGUAUUCAUUCCAUGGUAUAGAUACAAAAAAAGAAGUAUGCAUGCUUUUUAUAUGUGUUUUAUAUGUGUUUUCAGCCUGAUCCUUGAUAAACUGAUUAUUAAAAAAUAAGACUAUUUGAAUGCUGGGCAGUUCUGUCAGAGGUGAACUGCAGAAGAAGCAGUGGUUUGUUUCCAGGCAGAUCAAUACUUUUUUGUUCACUGAAGCAGAAUGCAAUAAUUAAAACUGCUGUAUACCGCCAUUUUGUUAUAGAUAAAAUAUUCUCCUUUAAUUCAACAAAGCCCAUGGACCUAAGCUCUAAACUCUUUCUAAUCUUCUGCACAUGUAUUAUAAAUGUAUGAACAGCUUUAAGGGUUUGGAUAUGAAUCAGUAAAAGCCAUUUAAAAUAAAUUAUACUUAAUCCAUAGUUUGAAUAAUUAA
RNAcentral lists this long non-coding RNA (1053 nucleotides) under Zonotrichia albicollis (white-throated sparrow). Its description in RNAcentral is "lncRNA (ENSZALG00000006631.1)". The record is from RNAcentral. Lineage: Eukaryota; Metazoa; Chordata; Aves; Passeriformes; Passerellidae.